UUAGGUAACGCAACAACACGAGUCGUUGCGAAAAAAUGUUUUAUGUAUUGCAACAACAAUGUCAUUGCAAAAUAUCUGAGGUAUAUCUUAAUAAAAUGUGAAAACACACUAAACCUAAUUUCAUUUCACACGACGUCCUUGAACAUAUGCCCGCCAUUCACUGCUGCAAAUCACUUCCUCUACCGUCAUCCACCACGCAUUCCGCUUCAUUUUAGUUUUCCUCCACCGUCAUCCACCACGCGUUCCACUUCAGUUCGCCUCUGCCUUCAGUUCACCGGCUCUCCUCCUCUUUUUAAGUGGUUUACAGUCACUUCUGAUGGUUCUGCACUUGGAUCUGCAUUAAUUCCAUCAUCCAUGAAUCAUGAUGAUUUUAAUUCAAGCCAAGACAGCCAAGGAAGUGAUGAAUUAAUUAUAAAAAACCAGUCACGAAGGUUUAAGGCAGCAAACAACCAAGGAAAGCCAGCAGCAACGUCAGAACAAGAGAAAUCAGACACUCAGCAAAAAAUCUGCUGACCAGCCCACAUUGCAGCAUGACCCAAGCCUCGACCAUGGAGAUCUUGACCUAACCAAUCAUGGGGACGUCAUCUCUAUACAUGGGCCUAGCCAUAAAGGUCCAAGAACCAUGCUGGAAGUGCACACAAUCACCUAGAACAGAAGCACAAGGGAACCCAGUCGCAGAUGAGAACCAUCAGCUGCUGAUCGAACCCACUGACCAGGGGACCUUGCAGGGAUUGGCUAGAUUAGACCCGAGUAUAUUAGGGGACACUAAGGGUAGAAUUGGAAUCUUGGCACAUGGACCUAGCCAUCAAGGGCCAAGAACCCUGUUAAUAACUCACACAGCUCUCUGAAAUCUGCGUGCAAGGUCGUGUAGUCAGCAACCUUUCUGACGGUGAAGUUGAAAGAUGUUGUUGCAUCAGCUGGGGAUUCAAUGACACAAGAUGUAAUUCACUUUUUCAAUGACUUCCCAUGCUUGGCUGUGGACACUUAGAGUCUUGAUGGAGAGAUCCUUGUGCGAAGAUUCCAUUUAUACCCUUUAUUCUUCCUAGCAUACGAGUAUCGGCUCUGGACAACUCAUGAAAGGAGGGCUGGUCAGCUGUCUUCAGGCAAACAUAUCUUCGUUGGAAAUUUUUGGUACUCAAUGACAAAGUUGGUGAUAGCUACAAGCAUUUUGGAUGCGCGAUGUUUUGGGUUAUGAAGUAGCUAUAUGUGCACUUGUAAAUUUUUGGACUUUUUCAAAGUGCCUAUCACUUGUAAAUUUUUGCAUGAAAACUUGUAUAUGGUAGGAGAAUUAUUUUGGAAAAUUGGUUAUCCGAUCCGUUACAUGUAUAUGAAUUACGUAUAUUUUUGACACACGAUAAUAUUUGGGACGUGUGAUAUUUUGGGAUACGAAUUAAUAUAUAAUGAUAAUCGGUGAUAUUAGUUUAGUUGGUUAUAAAUUAUUUAUUA
Long non-coding RNA from Amaranthus tricolor (Joseph's coat), 1446 nucleotides. RefSeq lists it as uncharacterized. The transcript is spliced from 4 exons. The record is from RefSeq and is a predicted model, not a curated record. NCBI's taxonomy places the organism in Eukaryota, Viridiplantae, Streptophyta, Magnoliopsida, Caryophyllales, Amaranthaceae.